AAACUAGUUCUGCUGACAGGCUUCACACACUCCUCUCAGAGGUUGGAUGAUAACAGCUCACACUGCAACGUGCACAAGUUCGCUUGGAUUAAAAACAAAAAACAAUCCUGAGAGGUGCUGACUGUGUCCACUCACACAUAUGGAAGCUGUGAUAGGACUUCUGCUUGUGUUGCUCCAAGUUUCAUUUGGUGUGGAAAAUCACUGUGAUGGCAGACAGAAUAACGCUCAGUGUUAUGCAGCUUUGGAUGGAUCUAUAUUCAUCAGGCUGAUGGACAGCGCUGUAGAAAAUCAUACAUACAUGUGGUCUAAAUAUAAAAGUAUAUUAUUGGUAGUGAAGAAUAAACAUGUUAUAAUGAAUACUUUAGAGAAGAGAGCAGAUUUUACUACACAAAAUGGUAUUUAUAGAAUAAAUCAACUAAAGUCGAGUGACAGUGGCCAGUAUCGACUUGAUGUUUUUGUAGAUGGGGGACAAAAAGAAGAACGGAAACUAAAUUUGUCUUUUCAAGGUCAGUUGUUUCUUUUUGGUUUGUCCAUAUAGAGUAAAGUGUACACUCAGAUUAUUUAUAAUCUGUAAACAAUCUCUUACACAGCUCCAGUAUCUUCUGUCCAGCUCGUCCCUACAUGUCUUUCUAUGGGGGAGAAGAAAGUUUCCUGCUCCUCUAAAGGGGACAGUCUUCUCUACAGCUGGACUCUGGAUGGACGCCCUCUGACAGACUCUGACCUCGUCCCAAAGGGCAGCAACACCAACAUUAUUCACCUGAAACUACAAACUGUAGGAAAACUGGUCUGUCAUGUCCAAAACAAAGUCAGCAAAAGCUCUGGUGAAGUGACGUUAACCACUUGUGGUGUGGAAAAUCACUGUGAUGGCAGACAGAAUAACGCUCAGUGUUAUGCAGCUUUGGAUGGAUCUAUAUUCAUCAGGCUGAUGGACAGCGCUGUAGAAAAUCAUACAUACAACUGGAAUAAAGAUAAAAGUAGAUUAUUGGUAGUGAAUAAUAAACGUGUUAUAACAAAUACUUUAGAGAAGAGAGCAGAUUUUACUACACAAAAUGGUAUUUAUAGAAUAAAUCAACUAAAGUCGAGUGACAGUGGCCAGUAUCGACUCGAAGUUUUUGUAGAUGGGGGAAAAAAAGAAGAAGAACGGAUACUAAAUUUGUCUGUUCAAGCUCCAGUAUCUUCUGUCCAGCUCGUCCCUACAUGUCUUUCUAUGGGGGAGAAGAAAGUUUCCUGCUCCUCUAAAGGGGACAGUCUUCUCUACAGCUGGACUCUGGAUGGACGUCCUCUGACAGACUCUGACCUCGUCCCAAAGGGCAGCAACACCAACAUUAUUCACCUGAAACUACAAACUGUAGGAAAACUGGUCUGUCAUGUCCAAAACAAUGUCAGCAAAAGCUCUGGUGAAGUGACGUUAACCACUUGUGGUUACAUCUUCAUAAACUGCACUUUGUCCAAUGGGACAGACAUAUUGCAGUGGGUGCUUGAGGCCACUAACACGUUGUGUGUUGACCCAACAACAGCCCCUAUGGGGACUGUGCCUCUGAUUGGGAUUUCACUCUCUGCUCUGGUCUUUAUCCUCCUUUUGGCUUUAGUCGUGAUCUGUGUUCAGAAGAAAAAGCCAAACAAACCAAAAGAACAACAGGAUGACCAUGAAUUAACCUACGAGGUUGUCUUAAGUGGUUCAGAGGCCGGGGAUGCAAGAGGUGCACAGGUCAGAGGCGGAGGUGGAGUACGGCCAAGUCAAGUUUUCACAGCAACCUCGACAGAUUCAAGUACCGCCAGAUGACUGUGUGUAUGCCAGAGUCUGUAAAUGAAAACAGGGUGUGGCUCUUUUUUUAUCACAGACAGGGGGCACGACAUGAUCUCAGGUUGCUUGAUGGGCUUCCCCGUUUAAUGAUGAAAAAUCUGGGUGUCACCGUUGAGAGGACUCCAAACCCACAUCAAUAAUAUAUAUUUGUUUACCCCCUCUACCACUGCCAUUCUUGUACAUACUCUUCGAUCACUGAAACUCCUGAAACUCAAAUGUCCAGAAUUAGAGUUACCUGCAUUGUUACCAAAACACCUUGAUUCCCCUACAUCAUUCCUAUUUAUACAGCAUCUUUAAAAAUCUGCAUCAACUACAAAAUCCUCCGACUGACAUUUAAGGUCAUCCACAAUGUCACCCCUCCAUAUAGGUCCAGACUGAUCCACACCAUCAGCUCACUAAUAUUAUUCAGAAUCAAGCUCAAAACUCAUCUGUUCAGGACGGCCUUUCUCUCUGUGAUCACAACUGCUGUGUCUAAUCUCGAUAUGUUUUAAAAAUUAAAUGUUGUUGAAUAAUCUUAUUGUAAAUAUUCCAUGUAUAGUGACCCUAAGUGCUAGAAAGAAGCCUUUUUAAAGAUAAAAUAAUUAUAAUAUAUAAUGAUAAUAAUGUAUUGGAUUUGUAUAUUAACUGUAUAUAGUGUCUUUCAUAGACACUCAAAGGGCUUUACAUUGCAUUAUUCAUUCACUCCACACAAACGGGUGGUAAGCUACUAAUGUAGCCACAGCUGCCCAGGGGCAGACUGACUGAAGCAAGGCUGCCAUAGUGUGCCAUUGGCCCCUCCAAAUACCAAAUAUAUCAAUGUAUCUUCUCCUGGAAAUCCCUGUAAGGUUUCCUGAACUAUUAGGCUGAAAUAUUUAGUAGUUAUUUAUAAUUUAAUGUAUAUAAGAAUGUAGUUUAUAAUUGUUUUCCAUUUACUAUUUAAUUUCACUACUUAAUCUGUACAACCGAUAACGUUUCUUCCAUUUAGAAUUUUAAGCAUUAAAGUUUUUCUUUCCCUCAUUAAACUGCAUUUAUUACCAGAUAUUUGCUGGAUGUGUUCAGUAAACUUUGACUCAGAGUUUCAUUGUGUUCACGGAAAAUUUCUAUUUGUGACUCAAUGACCCACAGAGUGAUUUGCUGAGAAAUGUCUUGUCUUUUGAGAAGUCGCACAUAAGCAGAUAUUUUUUUUUUUCUGUGAUGUAAGGACUUCUGCUUUCCUUGCUGGAGUUUUUAUUCUUACAAAACUACUUCAAAUAAAUAUAGCAAUAGGCACUACUACUGUGGCUUU
Long non-coding RNA from Gouania willdenowi (blunt-snouted clingfish), 3068 nucleotides. The record is from Ensembl. Lineage: Eukaryota; Metazoa; Chordata; Actinopteri; Blenniiformes; Gobiesocidae.